AGCAGCCGCGGUAAUUCCAGCUCCAAUAGCGUAUAUUAAAGUUGUUGCAGUUAAAAAGCUCGUAGUUGAAUUUCGAGAUCAAUUUGUCGGUCGUGCCUCGGUACGUACUGGCGUUAUUGAUUUCUCCCUUCUGAAGAACCGCGAUGUCAUUAAUUUGGUGUCGUGGGGAAUCAGGACUGUUACUUUAGAAAAAAUUAGAGUGUUUAAAGCAGGCGCACGCUUGAAUACAUUAGCAUGGAAUAAUGAAAUAGGACGUUUGAUUCUAUUUUGUUGGUUUCUAGGAUCGACGUAAUGAUUAAUAGGGAUAGUUGGGGGCAUUAGUAUUCAAUUGUCAGAGGUGAAAUUCUUGGAUUUAUUGAAGACUAACUACUGCGAAAGCAUUUGCCAAGGAUGUUUUCAUUAAUCAAGAACGAAAGUUAGGGGAUCGAAGACGAUCAGAUACCGUCGUAGUCUUAACCAUAAACUAUGC
This 469-nucleotide ribosomal RNA is filed under the name uncultured Glomus. RNAcentral describes it as "SSU rRNA". It matches the Rfam family "Eukaryotic small subunit ribosomal RNA", at positions 569 to 1042 of the family's 1831-position model. The record is from RNAcentral. Lineage: Eukaryota; Fungi; Glomeromycota; Glomeromycetes; Glomerales; Glomeraceae.